This is a long non-coding RNA of Cynara cardunculus var. scolymus (artichoke), 573 nucleotides long. RefSeq lists it as uncharacterized. Lineage: Eukaryota; Viridiplantae; Streptophyta; Magnoliopsida; Asterales; Asteraceae. The transcript is spliced from 3 exons. The record is from RefSeq and is a predicted model, not a curated record.
UCUUCAUCUUCAUUGCUCAGAUUUUUUUUAGCAACUAAAUUGCAGGCAUUCUUGAUUUGGGGAUUAAUCACCUACAAGGUUCAUCGAUUUCAACCUUAAUCGGAGACUUCAUCGCACAAGAUCAACCAGAUUUCUGAGCGAUUUAGCCACAAGGGUAACUCAGAUUGAACGAAUUCGAACAUGAGCUGAAGGCAUUCUUCUAAUUGUGGAGAAUAUGACAAUGAAAGCAGAAUUGAAGUUAAAUGUUGAGCUGAAAGUUUUUGUUUGCAGCUGUUGAUCAUAUGGAUUGCGAGAUUGUUGAACUAGUGCAGAUUUUUUUUUAAAUCGCAUCUGACGAAGCACAAACARAGACUGCUAGAGGAAGCUGCACAKAUACCUAUURGUUGUGAAUCAAGGAUUGUAACAGCUCUUACACGCUACCAAGCAAAGAACUCCUUUCAACAUCAACCAUUUGAAUUGACCGAGAAUUUCAUUUGGUGUAAUCAUAUUAAGGGAUUUUGUUACGAUUUUGAAUUAGUUUGUAAUUGGGUCGUAUAUUCUCGAACUAUGUUCUCGGACUAUCUUUUACCUAUA